GGGGCCAUAGCUCAGCUGGGAGAGCGCCUGCCUUGCACGCAGGAGGUCAGCGGUUCGAUCACGCUUGGCUCCACCA
This 76-nucleotide transfer RNA is filed under the name Pseudomonas syringae. RNAcentral's name for it is "tRNA-Ala". It matches the Rfam family "tRNA". From Rfam's summary of the family: Transfer RNA (tRNA) molecules are approximately 80 nucleotides in length. Their secondary structure includes four short double-helical elements and three loops (D, anti-codon, and T loops). The record is from RNAcentral. Lineage: Bacteria; Pseudomonadati; Pseudomonadota; Gammaproteobacteria; Pseudomonadales; Pseudomonadaceae. RNAcentral also lists the same sequence under 1 other name.